GUGUCAGCAGCCGCGGUAAGACAGAGGUGCCGAGCGUUAGGCGGAAUCACUGGGCUUAAAGCGCGUGUAGGCGGGUCGUUAAGUGCCUCGUGAAAUCCCACGGCUCAACCGUGGAACCGCGGGGCAUACUGGCGAUCUUGAGCGACCCAGGGGCGAGCGGAACAAGUGGUGGAGCGGUGAAAUGCGUAGAUAUCACUUGGAACGCCGACGGUGAAAACAGCUCGCUGGGGGUCUGCUGACGCUGAGACGCGAAAGCCAGGGGAGCGAACGGGAUUAGAUACCCCAGUAGUCC
This 292-nucleotide ribosomal RNA is filed under the name uncultured bacterium. RNAcentral describes it as "partial 16S ribosomal RNA". It matches the Rfam family "Bacterial small subunit ribosomal RNA", at positions 505 to 796 of the family's 1533-position model. The record is from RNAcentral.